GAAUCCCGUCUUUGGCACGGAUGCCUGGUGCUUCUGUGAUGCGCUCUCGAAGAGUCGAGUUGUUUGGGAAUGCAGCUCAAAAUGGGUGGUGAACUCCAUCUAAAGCUAAAUAUUGGCGAGAGACCGAUAGCGAACAAGUACCGUGAGGGAAAGAUGAAAAGCACUUUGGAAAGAGAGUGAAACAGUACGUGAAAUUGUUGAAAGGGAAACGCUUGAAGUCAGUCGCGUCGACCGAGACUCAGCCUCGCCUUGGCUUGGUGUACUUCUCGGCACGACGGGUCAGCAUCAAUUUUGCCCCUCGGAUAAUGGCAGGGGAAAGGUGGCACCUUUACGGGUGUGUUAUAGUCUUCUGUCGCAUGCGAGGGGUGGGAUUGAGGAACUCAGCGCGCACCUCAGUGUCGGGGCUUCGGCCCACGUCACGCGCUUAGGAUGCUGGCGUAAUGGCUUUAAACGACCCGUCUUGAAACACGGACCAAGGAGUCCAACACGCCCGCGAGUGUUCGGGUGGAAAACCCGUGCGCGUAAUGAAAGUGAAAGUUGGGACCUCUGUCGUGGAGGGCACCGACGCCCGGACCAGACCUUCUGUGACGGCUCUGCGGUAGAGCAUGUAUGUUAGGACCCGAAAGAUGGUGAACUAUGCCUGAAUAGGGUGAAGCCAGAGGAAACUCUGGUGGAGGCUCGUAGCGAUUCUGACGUGCAAAUCGAUCGUCAAAUUUGGGUAUAGGGGCGAAAGACUAAUCGAACCAUCUAGUAGCUGGUUCCUGCC
RNAcentral lists this ribosomal RNA (766 nucleotides) under uncultured Lactarius. RNAcentral's name for it is "eukaryotic LSU rRNA". It matches the Rfam family "Eukaryotic large subunit ribosomal RNA", at positions 216 to 962 of the family's 3401-position model. The record is from RNAcentral. Lineage: Eukaryota; Fungi; Basidiomycota; Agaricomycetes; Russulales; Russulaceae.